GAUAUCAGCCAUAUCGCCCUGCAGCUCUUAACUGGGUACCCACUGAAGCUAAGAAGGGUUGAGCCUGGUCAGUUCCUGGAUGGGAGUCCUCCUGGGAAGCUAUGGUUGCUGCUGAAA
This 117-nucleotide ribosomal RNA is filed under the name Lepisosteus oculatus (spotted gar). Lineage: Eukaryota; Metazoa; Chordata; Actinopteri; Semionotiformes; Lepisosteidae. The record is from RNAcentral.